This 465-nucleotide ribosomal RNA is filed under the name Gymnodia humilis. Its description in RNAcentral is "partial 16S ribosomal RNA". It matches the Rfam family "Bacterial large subunit ribosomal RNA", at positions 1922 to 2596 of the family's 2925-position model. Lineage: Eukaryota; Metazoa; Arthropoda; Insecta; Diptera; Muscidae. The record is from RNAcentral.
UUUAAAUGGCCGCAGUAUACUAACUGUGCAAAGGUAGCAUAAUCAUUAGUCUUUUAAUUGAAGGCUGGUAUGAAUGGUUGGACGAGAUAUUAACUGUUUCAUAUAAAUUUAUAUUAGAAUUUUAUUUUUUAGUCAAAAAGCUAAAAUAAAUUUAAAAGACGAGAAGACCCUAUAAAUCUUUAUAUUUAAAUUAUUAUAAUUUUAUAGAUUUUUUUUAUUAUAAUAAUUAAUAAUAUUUUAUUGGGGUGAUAUUAAAAUUUAAUAAACUUUUAAUUUUUAAAUUCAUUAAUAUAUGAUAAAUUGAUCCGUUAUUAACGAUUAUAAAAUUAAGUUACUUUAGGGAUAACAGCGUAAUUUUUUUGGAGAGUUCAUAUCGAUAAAAAAGAUUGCGACCUCGAUGUUGGAUUAAGAUAUAAUUUUAGGUGUAGCCGCUUAAAUUUUAAGUCUGUUCGACUUUUAAUUUCU